AUUGAACGCUGGCGGCAGGCUUAACACAUGCAAGACGAGCGGAGUGAUGGUGCUUGCACUAUCACUUAGCGGCGGACGGGUGAGUAAUGCUUAGGAAUCUGCCUAUUAGUGGGGGACAACAUCUCGAAAGGGAUGCUAAUACCGCAUACGUCCUACGGGAGAAAGCAGGGGAUCACUUGUGACCUUGCGCUAAUAGAUGAGCCUAAGUCGGAUUAGCUAGUUGGGGGGGUAAAGGCCUACCAAGGCGACGAUCUGUAGCGGGUCUGAGAGGAUGAUCCGCGACACUGGGACUGGAACACGGCGCAGACUCCGACGGGAGGCAGCAGUGGGGAAUAUGGGACAAUGGGGGGAACCCUGAUCCAGCCAUGCCGCGUGUGUGAAGAAGGCCUUAUGGUUGUAAAGCACUUUAAGCGAGGAGGAGGCUCUUUUGGUUAAUACCCAAGAUGAGUGGACGUUACUCGCAGAAUAAGCACCGGCUAACUCUGUGCCAGCCGCCGCGGUAA
Molecule: ribosomal RNA, 503 nt
Filed under: uncultured bacterium
Lineage: Bacteria
Description: partial 16S ribosomal RNA
Rfam family: Bacterial small subunit ribosomal RNA
Source: RNAcentral